GCCGGGGUGUCCCAGCGGUAAGGAGACGGUCUCGAAAACCGUUGCCCUAGUGGCUCGUGGGUUCGAAUCCCAUCCCCGGCGCCA
This 84-nucleotide transfer RNA is filed under the name Candidatus Thorarchaeota archaeon. Its description in RNAcentral is "tRNA-Ser". It matches the Rfam family "tRNA". From Rfam's summary of the family: Transfer RNA (tRNA) molecules are approximately 80 nucleotides in length. Their secondary structure includes four short double-helical elements and three loops (D, anti-codon, and T loops). The record is from RNAcentral. Lineage: Archaea; Promethearchaeati; Candidatus Thorarchaeota.